This 73-nucleotide transfer RNA is filed under the name Canis lupus familiaris (dog). It matches the Rfam family "tRNA". From Rfam's summary of the family: Transfer RNA (tRNA) molecules are approximately 80 nucleotides in length. The record is from Rfam by way of RNAcentral. RNAcentral also lists the same sequence under 2 other names. Lineage: Eukaryota; Metazoa; Chordata; Mammalia; Carnivora; Canidae.
ACUUAGCUGGCUCAGUCAGAAGAGCAUGUGACUUUUGAUCUUGGGGUCAUGAGUUCAAGCCCCACGUUGGGUG